AUCCCUACGGGAGGCAGCAGUGGGGAAUAUUGCACAAUGGGGGAAACCCUGAUGCAGCGACGCCGCGUGAAGGAAGAAGUAUUUCGGUAUGUAAACUUCUAUCAGCAGGGAAGAAAAUGACGGUACCUGACUAAGAAGCCCCGGCUAACUACGUGCCAGCAGCCGCGGUAAUACGUAGGGGGCAAGCGUUAUCCGGAUUUACUGGGUGUAAAGGGAGCGCAGGCGGCCUGCCAAGUCUGGGGUGAAAAC
Molecule: ribosomal RNA, 249 nt
Filed under: uncultured bacterium
Lineage: Bacteria
Description: partial 16S ribosomal RNA
Rfam family: Bacterial small subunit ribosomal RNA
Source: RNAcentral